AACUUCAGCAUGGGAACCACGCUACAAAGCCAUUAGACAAUGAAGCUACUCUUCCAUUAUCAUUGUUUCUUUUCUCUUUUGGACCUCCUCUCUCUUCUCCCUACAGGUUGACUUAUUUAUUCACUUUAUGCAUGACUUCUAAUUGCCAUUCACUUCUGAAUAUCAUUUUCCCCCAUUUCCUUGCCCUCUACUAACCUGUCAUGUCCCCCCCCACACACACACACACCCUUGCAGUGUAUAUUCAAAUUUCUGAAAGGUAGAAGAUAAUUAACUCAGCUUAUAAUGAUUACUUUUGAGACAAGGCUAAGCUAUAGGAUACUGGUAAACCUUGGGCUUGGCUAGCAUUCCAUCAGAUAUCCACUUUGGUCUCUUCAGAAAUGGCCAGGGAUGAUGGAAAGCAUAUAACAUCAUUGUUAAGGGAUGAUGUACAAAUAGAUUUCUUUAGAAAGUAGUGGAUUUGAGCCAAACAUUCUCAAUUAUAUUAGAACACGUACAAAGAUAGUUGUUCAAUAUACUUAUUGUAGCAUUUUUUAAUAUUCCCCACCCACCAAUAUCAUUUUUUGUCUCAAGAUCCUUGUUUUAAUAACAUUUGUGAAGUCCCUUUCUUUCAGAUUUAUACUGUAUAAUCAAAGUCUUUUUGUCACUUGUAGUACGUAGUUUAUAAAGUCUUGUUGGGGAGUCUAAAGUAUCAUUCCUACAACUUUAUUUCACACAAUACCUUAGACUUCUUUUCCUUAUUCUAGAUAUAUGAUGUAACUGAAAGAAUUCAGUGUCGGGAAAGUUGAGUAUAAUACUUGAUGACAUUGCUAAACUAAAAUUAUACCUUAGAGCAACUGAUCUGACACCUUUAGACCUGUUUCCUCAUUAAUAAAAUGAGAUUAGCCUAGGUUAUUUCCAGAAACCCAUCUAUCACUAUCAUUCUGUGGUCAUUAAAAAUAUUCCAUCUUAAGCUGGGUGAUGUGGCACAUGUCUGUAAUUCCAGUGACUUGGGAGGCUGAGACAGGAGGAUUACAAAUUCAAAGCCAGCCUCAUCAAUUUAGCUAGGUCCAAAGCAACGUGGCAAGACCUUGUUCAAAAAAAAAGAAUUAAAAGGACUGUGGAUAUGGCUCAGUAGUUAAGCACCCCUGGGUUUAAUCUCCAGUCACCCCCACCAAAACCAAUCUAUUUUAAAAAUGACUCUGGGGACUAAAACUAAAAUCUAGGCUAAGAAUUUUAUUGAACCAUAAGAAAUUUCUGAUUUUCAACCCACCAAAAUGGCAGUUUUUUAUGGUUCAUAUUAAAAUAUCAGGUUUUGAAGUAUGUAAAUAUUCAGUUUGUAUAGUUAUAGUAAUUUGGCAUCAUAUAUGUAAAUACAUGUAAUUUUUAAAAAAUUUCUUUCUCUAAUUUAUUAAGCCUUUCUGACAUCCAAUAUCAGGAUAUGAAUGCUGCUCAUGGAGGGAUGUUCUUACCAUCAAGAACAAUCAAUACUACUUUCUUCUAUCCCAUUAAAUGUUACAAAAAGUGCACAUUUUACUGUGUUUCAUAUGCAG
This 1529-nucleotide long non-coding RNA is filed under the name Marmota monax (woodchuck). Lineage: Eukaryota; Metazoa; Chordata; Mammalia; Rodentia; Sciuridae. The record is from RNAcentral.